UUAAAUUGAAGAGUUUGAUCAUGGCUCAGAUUGAACGCUGGCGGCAGGCCUAACACAUGCAAGUCGAACGGUAACAGAAAGAAGCUUGCUUCUUUGCUGACGAGUGGCGGACGGGUGAGUAAUGUCUGGGAAACUGCCUGAUGGAGGGGGAUAACUACUGGAAACGGUA
Molecule: ribosomal RNA, 169 nt
Filed under: Escherichia coli
Lineage: Bacteria; Pseudomonadati; Pseudomonadota; Gammaproteobacteria; Enterobacterales; Enterobacteriaceae
Description: partial 16S ribosomal RNA
Rfam family: Bacterial small subunit ribosomal RNA
Source: RNAcentral